GACGAACGCUGGCGGCGUGCUUAACACAUGCAAGUCGAACGGAAAGGCCCUGCUUUUGUGGGGUGCUCGAGUGGCGAACGGGUGAGUAACACGUGAGUAACCUGCCCUUGACUUUGGGAUAACUUCAGGAAACUGGGGCUAAUACCGGAUAGGAGCUCCUGCUGCAUGGUGGGGGUUGGAAAGUUUCGGCGGUUGGGGAUGGACUCGCGGCUUAUCAGCUUGUUGGUGGGGUAGUGGCUUACCCAGGCUUUGACGGGUAGCCGGCCUGAGAGGGUGACCGGCGACAAUGGGACUGAGAGACGGAGCAGACGCGUACGGGAGGCAGCAGUCGGGAGUAUUGCACAAUGGGCGGGAGCCUGAUGCGGAAACGCCGGGUGCGGGAUGACGGCCUUCGGGUUGUAAACCGCUUUCGCCUGUGACGAAGCGUGAGUGACGGUAAUGGGUAAAGAAGCACCGGCUAACUACGUG
Molecule: ribosomal RNA, 468 nt
Filed under: uncultured bacterium
Lineage: Bacteria
Description: partial 16S ribosomal RNA
Rfam family: Bacterial small subunit ribosomal RNA
Source: RNAcentral